UCAGUAACGCGUAGUCAACCUACCUUAUGGACGGGAAUACCCUCGGGAAACUGAGUAUAAUGCCCGAUAGAACACUAUACCUGGAAUGGUUUGUGUUUCAAAUGAUUUAUUGCCGUAGGAUGGGACUGCGGCCUAUCAGUUUGUUGGUGAGGUAAUGGCCCACCAAGACUAUUACAGGUACGGGCUCUGAGAGGAGUGGCCCGGAGAUGGGUACUGAGACACGGACCCAGGCCCUAUGGGGCGCAGCAGGCGAGAAAACUUUGCAAUGUGCGAAAGCACGACAAGGUUAAUCCGAGUGGUUUCUGCUAAAGGAACCUUUUGACAGUCCUAGAAACACUGUUGAAUAAGGGGUGGGCAAGUUCUGGUGUCAGCCGCCGCGGUAAAACCAGCACCUCAAGUGGUCAGGAUGAUUAUUGGGCCUAAAGCAUCCGUAGCCGGCUCAGUAAGUUUUCGGUUAAAUCUGUACGCUCAACGUACAGGCUGCCGGGAAUACUGCAGAGCUAGGGAGUGGGAGAGGUA
This 519-nucleotide ribosomal RNA is filed under the name uncultured archaeon. RNAcentral describes it as "bacterial SSU rRNA". It matches the Rfam family "Archaeal small subunit ribosomal RNA", at positions 90 to 610 of the family's 1478-position model. The record is from RNAcentral.